This 269-nucleotide long non-coding RNA is filed under the name Mus musculus (house mouse). RNAcentral's name for it is "long non-coding RNA chr1:167224955-167225224". The record is from RNAcentral. Lineage: Eukaryota; Metazoa; Chordata; Mammalia; Rodentia; Muridae.
CGUGACAAUCCACGGCUCUUCUGCAGCCAGCACAGACUGAGGCCUCUACCUCACACCUGUCCCUUCUUGCUUGGUCCCAUUCCCUCCAGCUGUCUUCUCAGCAAGCCAUCCAUCAACCUCCUCUAGGCAGGAGUCAGCACCAAGAGGAAGUGCUCAGAGGAGCUGAAGAUCUCUACCUUGGGCAUCUUCAAUCUAAAACCCCAGCUUAGGUACCCAUGAUUUAACUACCCUCCCUUAACAUCUUCUAAGAAAUAACUUCUCUUCUCCCG